This 254-nucleotide ribosomal RNA is filed under the name uncultured bacterium. Its description in RNAcentral is "partial 16S ribosomal RNA". It matches the Rfam family "Bacterial small subunit ribosomal RNA", at positions 524 to 776 of the family's 1533-position model. The record is from RNAcentral.
UACGUAGGGACCAAGCGUUGUUCGGAUUUACUGGGCGUAAAGGGCGCGUAGGCGGCAAUUCAAGUCAGCUGUGAAAUCUCCGGGCUUAACUCGGAACGGUCAGCUGAUACUGCCUUGCUAGAGUGCAGAAGGGGCAAUCGGAAUUCUUGGUGUAGCGGUGAAAUGCGUAGAUAUCAAGAGGAACACCUGAGGUGAAGACGGGUUGCUGGGCUGACACUGACGCUGAGUGCGCGAAAGCUAGGGUAGCAAACGGG